Molecule: long non-coding RNA, 1749 nt
Filed under: Nicotiana tabacum (common tobacco)
Lineage: Eukaryota; Viridiplantae; Streptophyta; Magnoliopsida; Solanales; Solanaceae
Description: long non-coding RNA (NTAB_LNC003274)
Source: RNAcentral
AUCCAUCUCACUUUAUCCCCUUCAGAGAAACCUCCAACCCUAGCGCCCCCCUUGAGUUCUCUGCCAUUGUAAUCGGCGGCGGCGCCUCCAACUAACCCCAAAUUUACACCACAACACCCCAUGGAUUCCUCUGUCCCAAUCCCCAACCAAUUUCUCUCGAAUCUUUCCAUAACUCUUCAAAUCUCAAAUCUAAGUUCGAAACCCUAAAACCCCAAAGCGCACUAUCUUUGAUUCUGUGGCAUGCAAUCGACCUAGGCUUGUGUUUCAUUCAAGUUUGAAGUUGAUUCAACGCAAAUUGAUGUUGUUCAUUUGUUCUCGACAAAGAACAAAUGAUUAACAUUUGUUUCAUUUAAAUCAAUGUCUCCAGUUGGUUUCGAGUUGGAUUUGGUAAGUUUUCUUCAUUUCUUUGUCUGUUUUUGUUGCUUCACCGUUUGUUCCUCUUCCUUUCUCAUCUUUUUCUCUAGUCAGUUUUUAUUUUGAUUGAAAUUUGACGAGGGUUUGCUGUCAAAUUAUUUCCGUUCAUUUUUUCAGCUUUUCUUUUCAAUUUUUAAAGGUUGUGCACUGAUUUUGUUUAUUCACUUGUUUAGUUUUUAGGUUUAAACUUCUGAUUCUUGCCCUUCUUGUUUUAGUUUUGUAGUCAGUUUAAUUAGGUUUGCUUCAAUUUGAAUAUGUAUUUUAAAUAUAGCUCAUUAGUUAGUUUAAAAAGGAAAAUCAGUCACUUAACUAGAAUUUUAGUUUUGAAAUCCUUCAGUUGUUUAGUUCUUCUGAUUUCUCAUUGAAUAGCUAAAAUAGAGCUCUGAUUUUGGUUUGGUCCCUGGGUUCAAUUCUGACCCAUUUUAAAAGAGCAACUUAUUCAUUUGGGUUUAAGUCAUUGGGUCAAUUUGACCCAUUUGGUUUCUGAAGUAAAUAACAGGGGUUUAAAGGGUAUUUUGGGUAGUUUAGCUUAGGGAAUCUUGCAUAACUAACUUAGGAAGCUGCCUAAAAAGUGGGAUUAGGACUAAUUUAAAAAACUGAUUUUUAAACCAAGGACAUAAGAGCAAAAAUAAAAAUUUGAAAAGGGGGAAAGGGCAAUAAACUGACCCAUUUUCUGCUGCUAAGGCUUGCCUAGAAAGGCAUUGUUUCUUCACUCACAAAGAAAAAAGGAAAAAAAACACUGAAAAAUUUUCAAACGGCUGAGCUAAAAAGAACUCCAAAACUCUUGCAUUUUGGUAGAAAAUUGAUCUAAUUCUGCAAUUAGUCUUUCAAUUCUGAAAAUUUCAAAGGAUUUCUAGUUUAUUUUGGAUUCAAAGAUGGUCUAAAGGCUAUUGAUCACUAUUCCAUUGCUGUUUUUGAGCCGAUUCUAUUGUUGUUUCCCCUUUGUUGAGUUACUAUUGCUGCUGCUUCAUAACUUCAGGCUUUUGUGUUGUUUGCUUGUUGUACUCAGGUACACAUCUCUGAUUCUGAAUAUGUAAGAUUGGAUCGUUUGGCUUGAAGAAAUGAAGAUCUCCGCAUUUACUCGAUGUUUUUUUUCUUGUUUUUUCACCCAACUUGUUAAUUUAUUUCUUAUGUUUUAGUAUACUUAAAAGUGACGUUAUGCCAUGAACAUUUGGGACUUAUGCUGAGAGUUGUACUUGGACUUUUAUGUGUGCUUGUAAUUUCAGCCUUGUUUUGAAUAAAUUAUUUUGAAUUUUAGAUAGUUAUACAGUCAUGCAUGAGCUCAAUGUGAGAUAGUUAAUACCAUUGUUAGGUUUUUCUUUUGAGUCAGGUGUU